This 492-nucleotide ribosomal RNA is filed under the name uncultured bacterium. RNAcentral describes it as "partial 16S ribosomal RNA". It matches the Rfam family "Bacterial small subunit ribosomal RNA", at positions 28 to 507 of the family's 1533-position model. The record is from RNAcentral.
GAUGAACGCUAGCUACAGGCUUAACACAUGCAAGUCGAGGGGAAACGGCAUCGAAUGCUUGCUUUUGAUGGGCGUCGAGCGGCGCACGGGAGAGUAACGCGUAUCACACCUGCCCAUGACUUGGGAAUAACAUUGCGAAAGUAAUACUAAUGCACAAUGACAACCCACGAAGGCAUCAGAAUGGGAUUGAUGAUUUAUCGGUGAUGGAUGGGGACGCGUCUGAUUAGCUUGUUGGUGGGGUGACGGCUCACCAAGGCAACGAUCAGUAGGGGAUCUGAGAGGCAGCACCCCCGCAUUGGAACCGCGACACGGACCACACUGCGACGCAGCGCAGGAGAAAGUAAUACAGUGCAAUGAGCGUGGGCCUAGACCAGCCAAGUAGCGUGCAGGAGGACGGGCCUAUGGGUUGUAAACUGCUUUGAUAAGGGAAUAAAGUGGGUCACGUGUGACUUUUUGCAGGUACCUUAUGAAUAAGAACCGGCUAAUUCCGUG